AGAGUUUGAUCAUGGCUCAGAUUGAACGCUGGCGGCAGGCCUAACACAUGCAAGUCGAGCGGUAGCACAGAGAGCUUGCUCUCGGGUGACGAGCGGCGGACGGGUGAGUAAUGUCUGGGAAACUGCCUGAUGGAGGGGGAUAACUACUGGAAACGGUAGCUAAUACCGCAUAACGUCGCAAGACCAAAGUGGGGGACCUUCGGGCCUCAUGCCAUCAGAUGUGCCCAGAUGGGAUUAGCUAGUAGGUGGGGUAACGGCUCACCUAGGCGACGAUCCCUAGCUGGUCUGAGAGGAUGACCAGCCACACUGGAACUGAGACACGGUCCAGACUCCUACGGGAGGCAGCAGUGGGGAAUAUUGCACAAUGGGCGCAAGCCUGAUGCAGCCAUGCCGCGUGUGUGAAGAAGGCCUUCGGGUUGUAAAGCACUUUCAGCGGGGAGGAAGGCGGUGAGGUUAAUAACCUCACCGAUUGACGUUACCCGCAGAAGAAGCACCGGCUAACUCCGUGCCAGCAGCCGCGGUAAUACGGAGGGUGCAAGCGUUAAUCGGAAUUACUGGGCGUAAAGCGCACGCAGGCGGUCUGUCAAGUCGGAUGUGAAAUCCCCGGGCUCAACCUGGGAACUGCAUUCGAAACUGGCAGGCUAGAGUCUUGUAGAGGGGGGUAGAAUUCCAGGUGUAGCGGUGAAAUGCGUAGAGAUCUGGAGGAAUACCGGUGGCGAAGGCGGCCCCCUGGACAAAGACUGACGCUCAGGUGCGAAAGCGUGGGGAGCAAACAGGAUUAGAUACCCUGGUAGUCCACGCUGUAAACGAUGUCGAUUUGGAGGUUGUGCCCUUGAGGCGUGGCUUCCGGAGCUAACGCGUUAAAUCGACCGCCUGGGGAGUACGGCCGCAAGGUUAAAACUCAAAUGAAUUGACGGGGGCCCGCACAAGCGGUGGAGCAUGUGGUUUAAUUCGAUGCAACGCGAAGAACCUUACCUGGUCUUGACAUCCACAGAACUUUCCAGAGAUGGAUUGGUGCCUUCGGGAACUGUGAGACAGGUGCUGCAUGGCUGUCGUCAGCUCGUGUUGUGAAAUGUUGGGUUAAGUCCCGCAACGAGCGCAACCCUUAUCCUUUGUUGCCAGCGGUCCGGCCGGGAACUCAAAGGAGACUGCCAGUGAUAAACUGGAGGAAGGUGGGGAUGACGUCAAGUCAUCAUGGCCCUUACGACCAGGGCUACACACGUGCUACAAUGGCAUAUACAAAGAGAAGCGACCUCGCGAGAGCAAGCGGACCUCAUAAAGUAUGUCGUAGUCCGGAUUGGAGUCUGCAACUCGACUCCAUGAAGUCGGAAUCGCUAGUAAUCGUAGAUCAGAAUGCUACGGUGAAUACGUUCCCGGGCCUUGUACACACCGCCCGUCACACCAUGGGAGUGGGUUGCAAAAGAAGUAGGUAGCUUAACCUUCGGGAGGGCGCUUACCACUUUGUGAUUCAUGACUGGGGUGAAGUCGUAACAAGGUAACCGUAGGGGAACCUGCGGUUGGAUCACCU
RNAcentral lists this ribosomal RNA (1528 nucleotides) under Klebsiella variicola. Its description in RNAcentral is "bacterial SSU rRNA". It matches the Rfam family "Bacterial small subunit ribosomal RNA". The record is from RNAcentral. Lineage: Bacteria; Pseudomonadati; Pseudomonadota; Gammaproteobacteria; Enterobacterales; Enterobacteriaceae.